UACAGAGGGGGCAAGCGUUGUUCGGAAUUACUGGGCGUAAAGGGCGCGUAGGCGGCCCGCUAAGUCGAACGUGAAAUCCCCAGGCUCAACCUGGGAACUGCGUCCGAUACUGGCAGGCUUGAAUCCGGGAGAGGGAUGUGGAAUUCCAGGUGUAGCGGUGAAAUGCGUAGAUAUCUGGAGGAACACCGGUGGCGAAGGCGGCAUCCUGGACCGGUAUUGACGCUGAGGCGCGAAAGCUAGGGGGGCAAACGGG
This 253-nucleotide ribosomal RNA is filed under the name uncultured bacterium. Its description in RNAcentral is "partial 16S ribosomal RNA". It matches the Rfam family "Bacterial small subunit ribosomal RNA", at positions 524 to 776 of the family's 1533-position model. The record is from RNAcentral.